This 415-nucleotide ribosomal RNA is filed under the name uncultured bacterium. RNAcentral describes it as "bacterial SSU rRNA". It matches the Rfam family "Bacterial small subunit ribosomal RNA", at positions 28 to 452 of the family's 1533-position model. The record is from RNAcentral.
GAUGAACGCUGGCGGAGUGCCUAACACAUGCAAGUCGAGCGGCAGCACGAGUAGUUUACUACUUGGUGGCGAGCGGCGGACGGCUGAGUAACGCGUGGGAACGUGCCCCAAAGUGAGGAAUAACUGCCCGAAAGGGUAGCUAAUGCCGCAUAUGAUCUUCGGAUUAAAGUAUUUAUUACGCUUUGGGAGCGGCCCGCGUCCGAUUAGGUAGUUGGUGAGGUAAAGGCUCACCAAGCCCACGAUCGGUAGCUGGUCUGAGAGGAUGACCAGCCAGACUGGAACUGAGACACGGUCCAGACUCCUACGGGAGGCAGCAGUGAGGAAUCUUCCACAAUGGACGAAAGUCUGAUGGAGCAACUCCGCGUGCAGGAUGAAGGCCUUCGGGUCGUAAACUGCUUUUAUGAGUGAAGAAUAU